ACCUACGGGGGGCAGCAGUGAGGAAUAUUGGUCAAUGGUCGGGAGACUGAACCAGCCAAGCCGCGUGAGGGAUGAAGGUACAGAGUAUCGUAAACCUCUUUUGUCAGGGAACAAAGGCGGGGACGUGUCCCCGGAUGAGUGUACCUGAAGAAAAAGCAUCGGCUAACUCCGUGCCAGCAGCCGCGGUAAUACGGAGGAUGCGAGCGUUAUCCGGAUUUAUUGGGUUUAAAGGGUGCGCAGGCGGUCUGUUAAAUCAGCGGUCAAAGCCCGGGGCUCAACCCCGGCCCGCCGUUGAAACUGGCAGG
RNAcentral lists this ribosomal RNA (305 nucleotides) under uncultured bacterium. Its description in RNAcentral is "bacterial SSU rRNA". It matches the Rfam family "Bacterial small subunit ribosomal RNA", at positions 337 to 640 of the family's 1533-position model. The record is from RNAcentral.